UACUGCAGCGAAAAGCAAAUACCUAGAAUAAUAUUUAUAACCCAUUUGUAUGGUACUAGGAACGAUUUUCCGCCUUGUUUUUAUACGAGCAAUCGUGUGAUAUGAUUUUCUCCUCCAGCAAACCAACCAAAGUAGAAAUAAUACCAAAAUCCUCACCAAAACCUCUCUUUUUAUACCUAAGGUCAUUAACCGGUGUAACAAAUUAGAACAAUUUAACUUAAUGCUU
Long non-coding RNA from Aedes aegypti (yellow fever mosquito), 226 nucleotides. RefSeq lists it as uncharacterized. The record is from RefSeq and is a predicted model, not a curated record. Lineage: Eukaryota; Metazoa; Arthropoda; Insecta; Diptera; Culicidae. The transcript is spliced from 2 exons.